Molecule: ribosomal RNA, 451 nt
Filed under: uncultured Fibrobacter sp.
Lineage: Bacteria; Pseudomonadati; Fibrobacterota; Fibrobacteria; Fibrobacterales; Fibrobacteraceae
Description: partial 16S ribosomal RNA
Rfam family: Bacterial small subunit ribosomal RNA
Source: RNAcentral
ACGGAAGGCAGCAGUAGGGAAUAUUGCACAAUGGGGGAAACCCUGAUGCAGCAACGCCACGUGUGGGAAGACGCAUUUCGGUGUGUAAACCACUGUCGUGAGGGAAUAAGGACGCUUCUCGGAGCGUUUGAAUGUACCUCGAAAGGAAGCACCGGCAAACUUCGUGCCAGCAGCCGCGGUAAUACGAGGGGUGCAAGCGUUGUUCGGAAUCACUGGGCGUAAAGGGAGCGUAGGCGGAGACGCAAGCAGUCUGUACAAUACCGGGGCCCAACCCCGGACCUGCAGACUGGACUGUGUCUCUUGGAUAGUUCAGGGGCAGGCGGAAUUCCUGGUGUAGCGGUGGAAUGCGUAGAGAUCAGGAAGAACACCGAUGGCGAAGGCAGCCUGCUGGGGACUCAUCGACGCUGAGGCUCGAAAGUGCGGGUAGCAAACAGGAUUAGAUACCCUGGUA